Molecule: ribosomal RNA, 586 nt
Filed under: uncultured Staphylococcus sp.
Lineage: Bacteria; Bacillati; Bacillota; Bacilli; Caryophanales; Staphylococcaceae
Description: bacterial SSU rRNA
Rfam family: Bacterial small subunit ribosomal RNA
Source: RNAcentral
AAGUCGAGCGAACGGACGAGAAGCUUGCUUCUCUGAUGUUAGCGGCGGACGGGUGAGUAACACGUGGAUAACCUACCUAUAAGACUGGGAUAACUUCGGGAAACCGGAGCUAAUACCGGAUAAUAUUUUGAACCGCAUGGUUCAAAAGUGAAAGACGGUCUUGCUGUCACUUAUAGAUGGAUCCGCGCUGCAUUAGCUAGUUGGUAAGGUAACGGCUUACCAAGGCAACGAUGCAUAGCCGACCUGAGAGGGUGAUCGGCCACACUGGAACUGAGACACGGUCCAGACUCCUACGGGAGGCAGCAGUAGGGAAUCUUCCGCAAUGGGCGAAAGCCUGACGGAGCAACGCCGCGUGAGUGAUGAAGGUCUUCGGAUCGUAAAACUCUGUUAUUUAGGGAAGAACAUAUGUGUAAGUAACUGUGCACAUCUUGACGGUACCUAAUCAGAAAGCCACGGCUAACUACGUGCCAGCAGCCGCGGUAAUACGUAGGUGGCAAGCGUUAUCCGGAAUUAUUGGGCGUAAAGCGCGCGUAGGCGGUUUUUUAAGUCUGAUGUGAAAGCCCACGGCUCAACCGUGGAGGGUCAU